AUUGAACGCUGGCGGCGUGCUUAACACAUGCAAGUCGAUCGGUAACAGGUGUAGCAAUACAUGCUGACGAGAGGCGGACGGGUGAGUAAUGCUUGGGAAUCUGCCUAUUAGUGGGGGACAACCCGGGGAAACUCGGGCUAAUACCGCAUACGCUCUACGGAGGAAAGCCGGGGACCGCAAGGCCUGGCGCUAAUAGAUGAGCCCAAGUCGGAUUAGCUAGUUGGUAGGGUAACGGCCUACCAAGGCGACAAUCCGUAGCUGGUCUGAGAGGACGACCAGCCACACCGGAACUGAGACACGGUCCGGACUCCUACGGGAGGCAGCAGUGGGGAAUAUUGGACAAUGGGGGCAACCCUGAUCCAGCGACGCCGCGUGGGUGAAGAAGGCCUGCGGGUUGUAAAGCCCUUUCGGUGGGGAAGAAAGUCUCGACCUAAUACGUCGGGACCUUGACGUAACCCACUAAAGAAGCACCGGCUAACUCUGUGCCAGCCGCCGCAGUAA
This 501-nucleotide ribosomal RNA is filed under the name uncultured bacterium. RNAcentral's name for it is "bacterial SSU rRNA". It matches the Rfam family "Bacterial small subunit ribosomal RNA", at positions 29 to 523 of the family's 1533-position model. The record is from RNAcentral.